RNAcentral lists this long non-coding RNA (3448 nucleotides) under Canis lupus familiaris (dog). RNAcentral's name for it is "lncRNA (ENSCAFG00000058366.1, ENSCAFG00805012821.1)". The record is from RNAcentral. Lineage: Eukaryota; Metazoa; Chordata; Mammalia; Carnivora; Canidae.
GGAUUACCAUAUGAUUCAGCAGUGCAUGCCUGGGUUAGAGAACUGACAGCAGGCGCUGGAACUGGCAUUUCUACUGCCAUACGCACAGCAGCGUUAUUCACAAUAGCCAAAAUGCGAACGCAACCUCAGUGUCCAGCGUCCAUCAGCAGAGGAAUGGAUGAGCAAAAUGUGUAUGUACACACAACAGAAUAUUAUUCAGCCUUGAGAAGGAAGGGAAUUCUGACAUCUGCUCUGUCUUGGAUGAACCUUGAGGACACUCUGCUAAGUCAGUAAGCCAGACACAGAGACAAAUAGCGCCUGGUCCUUCCUAGAGCUAGAGAGGAAAGGUGACCUGGUUAUCCUUCUCAGCUAUUUAUGCAGCAUGGAAAAUGAUUGUCUGGGCAAAGUGGGUGAAUGGCACUUUACAAAAAACUGAUUUAAUCAUUGACACCAGUUUAUUUGAGAGGGAAAAAAAUGCUAAUGGUCAUUUCCAAUCAUGUUAAUUGGCUUCUGGCUCCAAUGAGCCAUUCAGAGAAUGUCCAGUGACAAGUUUGUCCUGAAAUCGUCUGACUGAGAGUUCCGCCAUCAGAACUCAGCAGUGCCAAAUCUCAGGUACUGCCUGGUGACCGAAGGGCAGGGUCGCUUCCUGGAGACAGCAAAUCCUCUGGAAAGCAAGGAACACCCUUUGGAGUGGCAUGUGUCCUCUUCCACUCAAAAGGCCAGAUCUUCAGGUCUUUUGUUUUUAUAACAACUGUUUUAUUUCCAGACCUAAAAUGACAUGAUCUUUAAGGUUUAUGAAUCCUCUCAAGUUUAACAAAUUAGCUUAAAAAAUUUUAUUCAUUUAUUUGAUAGAGACAGAGCGCAUAUAUGGGAGGAGAAGAAGAAGCAGACUCCCCCCUGAGCAGGGAGCCUGAUGGAGGACUCAAUCCCAGGACCCUGGGAUCAUCACCUGAGCCAGUGACAAACAUUACACCCACUUACCCACACCCCAUUAUACCCACACCCACUUACCCCCAAUGACCAAGGAUUGCUUCAGAUUCUAUCGCUCGCACUUCUUCGUAAGGCCCACGGGGAGCCCCUGGUCUGGCCCCGUGCUUCCCUCUCCAGCCUUGUUUCUGGGCUAACCUCCUCCUCUCCCCUUCUGCUCCCUUGCCCACUGGGGAAAGUCUUGCUCAUCGUUCUGCAAUAAUACAGCUCCUCAGUCUCUUGCCUGCAAUUCCAAAAUCCACAAAGCUCUGCCCCACUGCAAGGUUUUUCAUUAAGUUUGCAGGAUCAGCUUCUCCAGCCAAGAACCCAUUGUGUUGAGCAAAGUUGGGCUCAUUGACUUGUUGCCACAGGGGCGAACCCGCACAGCUGGUGUUCUGAUUACCUCCUACUCGCCGCAGGAUGAGGGUACCCCUGCCCUCAAUGAUAUGACGCCUGGCACUGGCCAGGUGAGAUGGACAGCAAUGAUUAGCCACAUAGACUCACUGCCGGGGAAAGGAGGACACUGCCCACCACAUGGGGCCACUCAGGGUUGCAGUCAAGAGCAGAGCGAAUCAGCAAGAGCUGUAGGCUGCCCUUUAUAAUAACGGGAUGGGGUGUCCCCUGGUUCCUACAGGGGGAUGUGAUUGGCUUCCAGGCUUGCAGGAAAGCUGAGCCCCCCACAGACUGAGGAUGGGGUGCAGUGUGGCUGGUCUGACUGGUGAAGAACUGGCUGGGUGAGGAGCCUUUCUCAACAACGAGAGUGGUAGAGACACAUCUGGAGAGAGCAGGGGACCCAGGAAGCCCCAGAAGGCUCAAAGAUAUCAGGGCGGCCCUUGAAUGGUUAGGUCUCACAACCCUGUGAGGAGCCCACCGGCAUCUCUGGGAGGGUUAACUUAGAAGGGAUCACAGGAUCUGGUCCGCGUUAGGGAGAGGGGGAGUGUUUUGGACUGGCACUGACAGGACAUAAGGUAAUUCUGUGAUUAGGUUUCUCAAUCCAUCUUAUCUAGAAGGAAAGAGGAACGAAGCAGAACUAAUGCCCUAACUAGUCAAGAAGCAACAGUCACUCAUAUCAGCCAGGAUAGGGGGCUGUUGGGUCAUGUUUGUGGUCUGGACAAUGUUCCUGUUUUUGAGCUCAAACAUGACUACAGCUGGUCCUGUUUUGUGUUGACCCAUCACCGAGGCAGAGCCGCGCUAUCAGGUGCUGGUGUGCUAUGAAGUUGUUUAUGUUCACAGGAGCACACUGAGGCCCUCCCAGCAGCCCCAGGACUCGCGGUGCCAGGCCACUUCCUGAUUCAGGGGCUGUUCUUCUCUUCCCCCCAUACCCUGCGGAACCAGAGGCCUGCACAGUUGGUCCUCAGAACCUAGGUCUGCGGCAUGGAGAGCUCUGACGUGGCCAACUGUGCUGCUCAGGGGUUUGCUUAGAGAAAGACAUUGCAGCUGGGCUCUGGUUACACACCCUCCCACUGCCCUGCAGUGUCUCACAGAACGGUUGCUACACUGAAGUCAUACAGAAUCUGUCAGCCACCUGCUGCACAGGUCGUUAUCAGAAACAAACCUGGCUACUGGCUCUGGUACCAGAUCCUGAAGAUGAGGACCUCGAUGGCCAAACCCAGGCUGUGAAAACCUGCCCUAGGGUCCAACUGGCUUUCCCUGGAGGACCAGGUGGCUUUUUCUUUUUAAAGCCUAGCCAGCCACAAACUAUUCUACUUGACCCAUCAUAUUUAUGUGGUGUUUACAUAGGUGCAGCAAGAAUGUCCAUCUGAGCAUAAAUUCCCCCUGGGCUCACCAAUAAGACAUUCAGGGCUUCAUGAUCCACUAACGAAUGGACAUUCCACCUGGUUGGUGGGAAUGGCAGUUGUGCCACUUAUGACAUCUGCUAGGGUCAGGGACAAGUUUGGGAUGAGAAUGUUCAUCCACCCAUGUUACCCCUGCGUAGGUACUGCAGCUGGCAUCAUGUUCUUGAAGAGAGUGGUCAUCUCUCUGGGCACUCCCCCAGGUAGCCUGUGCUUGCAUCUUUUUCAAGGUUUCUGGGUGUUCUUUCUCAGGGAAACAUGAUCCACUGGAGCGGUGGUCAUUUUAAACAUCUGAAAGUCUCAAACAACCAUGCUGAGUACCCAGGGUAAGUGAGCAUAUGGCAGGUGGCUUAAGCCUGAUGGUCACAUAGCAAGUAGCAUCCAUAGCUAUAAUAAAGAAAGAUGAACAGUCACAAGUGUUGAUGACAAUGGAGAGAAAUGGGAAGCCCCACAGCUAGGGGUAGGAAUGUAAAAGACUGUAGGCACUGUGGAAAACAGUGUGACAGUUCCUCAGAGUGUUAACACGGAGUCACCGUCUGACCUGGCAGUUCCACCUCUAGCCAUAAACACCAAAUAAUUGAAAACCUGUACACAACUGCUCAUAGCAGCAUUGUCCACAAUAGUAAAAAGGUAGGAUUGGCCCAAAUAUCCAUCUGUGGCUGGACGGAUUAAAAACUGAUCUAUCAAAAAAAAAAAAACAAAAACAAAAA